AGGCCCAGUAAGCAGGGUGCAGAGCUACGGUAGCUCUGGUGGCCUUGGCCUGGUCAACCAUGUCCUCUGAGUCUGACUUCUUGGGCGAGAUCUUCUGGGGAGGCUUAAACUUCAGUAAAGUGUCUGGAAAAUGCGAGGUGCUCAAUAAAUGCCAAGUUGCCUUCCUGUCCCCGUGGCCCCUUCCACAUGACACCAGAGUCCCUGGUUAUCUGGUGGCCAUGGGGAAUGUCAUUGACUCCGAGUGGUGCUGGGUACACAGCAGCUGAGCCAGCACAGUGCCACGGAGGGUGGCUAGGAAGAGUUUUACCUCCAGAUGUGCCUCACGCACCAACCCUGCAGCCAGGUGCUGCUCACUCCCUCGGUGAUGGCCAGGCGCUCCAGGCGAUGAGCGCUUCUUUCCACGGUGCGAUAAACCACACUUGGCUUGCCCACUGGUCAAUCAAUGCAUGUUUGAGUCAGACCCAGAAUUUGACCACUGAGAAUGAAGAAUGGCACCAUUAGGAACACCAUGGACAAAUCUGUCUGUCUGUCUGUCUGUCUGUCUGUCUGUCUGUCUGUUCUUUGAGACAGGUUAUCCUUGAACAUCUGAUUCUUCUGCCUCCCAAGUGCUGGGAUCUUAGACAUGCACCACCGUGCCCAGCUGUGUCAGGCUUUGGUUGACCCUCAGCCCCCUCCAGUUCUCUUCUGGGUCAGUGUGUAGCAGCAAUUACAAGGCCCAUUUAUCAGUGUUGACCUCAGGAACUGCCAACUGACACUGUUAAAGGCAGCCAUGGCAUCUAAGUGUGUGAUGACACACACCUGAGCACUUGGGAGGCAGAGGCAGAGGCAGAGGCAGAGGCAGAGGCAGA
Molecule: long non-coding RNA, 848 nt
Organism: Mus caroli (Ryukyu mouse)
Lineage: Eukaryota; Metazoa; Chordata; Mammalia; Rodentia; Muridae
Source: RefSeq, a predicted model, not a curated record